UACGGGAGGCAGCAGGCCAGGAAUCUUGGGCAAUGGGCGCAAGCCUGACCCAGCAACACCGUGUGGGCGAUGAAGGCCUUCGGGUCGUAAAGCCCUGUUGAUAGGGACGAAGGGCGAAGGGUUAAUAGCCCCUAGCCUGACGGUACCUUUCGAGGAAGCCCCGGCUAACUACGUGCCAGCAGCCGCGGUAAUACGUAGGGGGCGAGCGUUGUCCGGAAUUAUUGGGCGUAAAGAGCGUGUAGGCGGUUCGGUAAGUCUGUCGUGAAAUCCUGGGGCUCAACCCCGGGCGUGCGAUGGAUACUGCCGGGCUAGAGGGUGGUAGAGGCGAGUGGAAUUCCCGGUGUAGCGGUGAAAUGCGCAGAUAUCGGGAGGAACACCAGUAGCGAAGGCGGCUCGCUGGGCCACACCUGACGCUGAGACGCGAAAGCUAGGGGAGCGAACAGGAUUAGAUACCCUGGUAG
This 461-nucleotide ribosomal RNA is filed under the name uncultured Actinomycetes bacterium. RNAcentral describes it as "bacterial SSU rRNA". It matches the Rfam family "Bacterial small subunit ribosomal RNA", at positions 340 to 793 of the family's 1533-position model. The record is from RNAcentral. Lineage: Bacteria; Bacillati; Actinomycetota; Actinomycetes.